UACAAAAAGUCCAACAUUCCUUGGGUUUGGCGUAACUGCGAUUGUGGUGGUCGGACUCGCUUGGGAUCGCCGUCGCUUCUAGACAACUUAAUAAACACCGAGGCAGUCAACUUUUUCUAAUUGCUGUUAAGAAUUUCCAGUUUUCCAUAUUUAGGUAAAUUCUGCUGGUUAGAAGAAAACGGUAACGAAAGGACGUGGUGCAAAGUUACAGCUAUAGUACUUCUCUGCUAGAUCCAGUGUUUAAAGUAGGUCACUCAAAGAAACUGUGAAAUGGCUACAAACUGACAACUUAAAUGAAAAGUGCUUCACUGUGGAAACAGAAUGGAGCACAUGGAAAGAACAUCUAGGGAAGACAUCAUCCAAGCAGAAUUUAACACAAUUUUAAAUUUGAAUAAGUUUUGAUUCAACUCGAGUCCGAUUUGUUAUGGCAGCUUGCACACUGUAUAACACUUUUUGGGCGACUGUGACAGUUGUGUGGUGGUCAUUUUUUCAGUGUUGUCCUUUUAUGGAAAAAAGUCCGAAAAGUGUAUAAAGUAGGUUUCAACUCUAGAAGUCCUGUGAAAUGGUCAUAUACUGACAGUGUAAAUGUGUGUUGCUCUUUGGGAUCAGGCUGGAGCAAAAGGAACAAUAAUCUUGAAUAUGUAAUCUGAGGAGAAUUAGUAAAACAAAAGGUUAGAUAUUAUUCCUUAAUAUUGUGCUGUUGCAACUUCCGAAAGCCUUUCCCAAAAUUGCAGUAAAGUAUUUUGCCUUAAGUAAUUAAUCAACCAUUUUUAAACUAACACUUACAAAUAUGUAUAAGCCGAAUAUUAAGCCUUCAAAAUGGUCACAGACAAUGUAGAUGGAGCUGCUUUUCUGCUGGGUCAGACUAGAGAAAAACAAGAGCACCCUAGGAGGACAUGAUCCUAGCAGAUAACUGAUGUUUGUUUGUAGCUUUACAAUGACUAGUUACAAAAGAUCACCAUGACAAAACAAUAGUCUGCCUUGAAAAUGACAUCAUGUACUUUCAAAAAUAUCACUGAUGCAGAGAAUCCUAUUUUGAGACUAACAUUGUCUACUUUCAUGAGAAUUAACAAAUUACCUGCGGGAUAUCUCUUGGUGACAAGGAUUUCUGGUGAGAAUGGUAUUACUUGCUAAAACAUCAUUAUUCAGUGAAAAGAGGACAGCUGCCAUAGGAGUGACAUUUUUACUGUACUUACAAAAACAGAAUUCCAACAUCAAUCUUGACAAGUACCUGCUGAAAUACCACUGACAAGAGGAUGCCUGCCAUGAUGAUGUGUAUUUGCUCUGCCUGUGGAAAACAUGACUCCGAAACUAUUACAGAGGCAACAUUUAAUAUUUACUUAAGCUGGUAAAAAGCUGAAACACACUAAUGCUUCUUCAUUAAAAACUAUAGAUAUAAAGUACUGUGCGUGUGGCAUUAAAAAUUUCAAUGCUU
Long non-coding RNA from Macrobrachium nipponense, 1435 nucleotides. RefSeq lists it as uncharacterized. The transcript is spliced from 4 exons. The record is from RefSeq and is a predicted model, not a curated record. NCBI's taxonomy places the organism in Eukaryota, Metazoa, Arthropoda, Malacostraca, Decapoda, Palaemonidae.